Xenia sp. Carnegie-2017 is the source of this 185-nucleotide long non-coding RNA. RefSeq lists it as uncharacterized. The record is from RefSeq and is a predicted model, not a curated record. NCBI's taxonomy places the organism in Eukaryota, Metazoa, Cnidaria, Anthozoa, Malacalcyonacea, Xeniidae. The transcript is spliced from 3 exons.
AAGCAGACCGCUGGGUGGUAUUAAAGGAGAUGGAGUUGGAAGUGACCAAGCUGCAUGAUGGUAUAUUAACAGCUAUAUAUUAAUGUCCCAUGAUGGAGGAGAACCGAUGCCAAGAUUUUCGACAAUGAUGAAGCUUGAAAUGGUAUAGGAUAAUAAGAUUUGCCAAUAAAAUCUUUUGAUUCGAU